This 382-nucleotide ribosomal RNA is filed under the name uncultured eukaryote. RNAcentral describes it as "partial 18S ribosomal RNA". It matches the Rfam family "Eukaryotic small subunit ribosomal RNA", at positions 592 to 976 of the family's 1831-position model. The record is from RNAcentral.
CAAUAGCGUGUAUUAAAGUUGUUGCAGUUAAAAAGCUCGUAGUUGGAUUUCUGGUUGAAGCGACCGGUCGGGCGUUGAUUCGUCUGCACUGGAGUCGGUUUUGGCCAUCCUCUAGGAAAGUGCGUCUGGUAUUAAGUUAUCGGGCGUAUGAUCCUGGUCUUUUACUGUGAAAAAAUUAGAGUGUUUAAAGCAGGCCUUCGCCUUGAAUACAUUAGCAUGGAAUAAUAAGAUAGGACUUUGGUCUAUUUUGUUGGUUUGCAGACCGAAGUAAUGAUUAAUAGGGAUAGUUGGGGGUAUUUAUAUUCCGAUGUCAGAGGUGAAAUUCUUAGAUUUUCGGAAGAUAAACUUAUGCGAAAGCAUUUACCAAGGAUGUUUUCAUUAA